This is a non-coding RNA of Zopfochytrium polystomum, 83 nucleotides long. The record is from the annotation of a GenBank genome assembly. Lineage: Eukaryota; Fungi; Chytridiomycota; Chytridiomycetes; Chytridiales; Chytridiaceae.
GGUCAGAUGGCUGAGCUGGUCUAAGGCGCCGCACUCAAGUUGCGGCCUCUCACAAGGCGUGGGUGCAAAUCACAGUAUGACCA